Long non-coding RNA from Perca fluviatilis (European perch), 1673 nucleotides. RefSeq lists it as uncharacterized. The transcript has 3 exons. The record is from RefSeq and is a predicted model, not a curated record. Lineage: Eukaryota; Metazoa; Chordata; Actinopteri; Perciformes; Percidae.
UAUUGUUAUACAGAUGAAACUUUCCCAAAAAAAAAGAAGUACAAGGAGACUAAGCAACAAUGCCAUUUCAUUCCCAGAAAGAGCUCAGUGGCCCAGAUGCUACGAAGAUAGAUGCAGACAUUAUUGCUGGAACAUUUGUUGAUGCAACAUUUCAGUUUUACUUCUUUUUUCCCAGUUUGUGAUGUAUUGCUCUACAUAUGGCCUCCAAGCAGAAAAUGAGCUGUGGAGAAAGCAAUCAGAGGGGACACCCGUCCUAUUCUGGAGAUCAUUGCAUCACCAAACGUUCCUGGCAAGACUUUUUUCUACAAACAAGGAAGAGCAAAGAGCUGUCCCCCACACUUUGUGUCAAGGCCUAAAGCACGGUCAGCCAGAGACAUCCAGACGUCCUCGAUGUGAAGAGAAGAGGAUGGGAGAGGAGGAGAAACUCUGUGUGUCACAGAAGGGGGGAGGAAAAGGCGAGGCCGCAUCAGACGACUGCCGAGCUACAUCCAAGUGUCAGGGUCCCAAAAUAGUGGCGAGCAACGACCAGACUGAAGAUACCAAACAAACAACAGCUCUCAGAUCAAGUAAACAUCGGCUAACACACAAGACACGACAAACUGUGAAGCCUCCCUCUGUCUUCCGGUGUCGUUAAUCAGAGCUGCGGAGAAAGCAAUCGGAGGGGACACCCGUCCUAUUAGAGGAGGCUGCAGCCGUCUCUCCCCUCCUCUGACCGGAGUCCUCGCAAACACUUUGCCUUCGAAAAAACGUUGACAAGCUCCCUCUGUGUGGUGCUGUGUGGACACAGAGGACAGAGUCUCGUCUCCAGCAGAUGUCUUGUGGCGCAGACUAUAAAUAAAGCCAAUGAGACCAGCCGGCCGCUGACGAGCACAAGCCGCCGCGAGGCCGUGUUAGUUUUGCAAAAGGCCUGUCUAGUCUUGGCACGGCAGGCGGGCUAACAUUUGGCGGGCCCCGUGUUGAAGCCUGCGGGCUUUGUGUUUAGGGUUUGAGAGGAAAAUAAAGAUUCUAGCCCCUAAAGUUGAGGUUUUAUCAAAAGUUGUUUUCCGUGUUGGGGCAGGUGUGAGAGGAAAUGGUGGAAGCUGAGGUGCACAAAGCUCUAUAGAGAGCAUAGAGGCGCGUAGGGAAACGGAAACAUGGAUGCAGUGGAAAACAUGUCAUGCAGUGUUAAUUUCUCCUCUGUGCAGUAACAUAUAGCCAAUUUAGCAAGCGUUUAACAUCAGUGAGAAGAAGUAUAACAUCCAAUGUAUUCACCAUAUCGUAAUGUGCCAUUAAAUGGGGUGCAACAGUCAGAGAAGAGCGCACCAGUGUAGCCUUGUGUUUCAUUGAUGACCCUGACAAUCCCAAAGGACAUCGGUGGCCCUGGGGCCUGUCUGUCUCUAUUUAAACCACUUUAACAGCCCCUUGUUUGGAAAGGAGAGACUUUCAUUUGCCAAGACAGUGUAGGCACCCUCGAUUAAGAUGUAAUGCAGUGCCGUUUUAUUGCACAUUUCAUUGUAGGACGCACCCACAGUUAGCGCUUUAAGAAGGAAAAUAUCCCAGGUCGGCCAUAACAUGGAACACUUACAGCAUCUCUGCGAUAAUCAGCACAAAUGGGAUAUUUUGACACUGAUAAAAUGGCCGAUACACAAAUCACCUCCUGCUUUUUUGAAGAAACAUUUAGAGUAUACUGCCGU